GUUGGUCCAAGUGCAAGCUGGUGAGUUUUUUGCCAAACACAAAGAACAUGGAUUCCAAAGACCAUGACUGGAAUUCUGAUGAAACAUAAACAUGGUGCCAAGAAAGCAUGGGGUGCAGAGGGGAGAGUGGAUUGAGGAGGAACAAUUCCCCCAUAAAUAAGGAGCUGCAGUCUGUCGAGCCAACGUGGUAUGUUAGAAAGGACACUGGGUAAGAACCAGAGGACAUGGAUGUAAAACCCUGACUCUUCUAUACUAUAGUGACAUGGUCUUGAGCAACUGACUUUACCUCUCUGAGCCUCAGUUUCAUCAUCUAUAAAAUGAGGAGAGUUUUACUUGUAUCUCUCAAAGCUAUUAAGUUUCUAUAGAAAUAGGGCUGUUUGGAUUAUCUAUUUCUCCUUGAGUGUGCUUUGGAACUUUGUAUUUUUCCAGGAAUUUGUCUAUUUCAUUUAAAUUGUUGAAUGCAUCAGCAUAAAGUUGUUCAUAUGAUUCUGUUAUUAGCCUUUUAAUAUCUACAGGGUCUAUCAUGAUGUCAUCUCUCUCAUUUCUGACACCAGGCUGGGCUACUGAAUUUUAUAUGGUAUAAUAAAUUUCUGGCAUCUGACAGGUGCUAAAUCAAUGUUUCCUGGGUGGAAUCUACAGUCUCAAGGAGUCAAGUCUAUGGUUCAUAAACUGCUUCAGAAUACUGGUUCAUUAGUUCAUCCAUGCCCUAUAUCAUUCUAUCUAUCCAUCUUUCUCCUCCUCAGCCAAAUUUUCAUCCAUCCAACUGGUAGUUGGACAAAAGAAUAUAAAGAAAAAAAUAGAAAUGUGCUUCAGAUUCACCAGUGGGAGAGCAAUUUAGAUAUUUUAAGAGACGAUGAGAUUUUUAAAAAGAUGUAAUAAGUGUGGGUCAUGGUUUCUUGGAAGUACAGAAAGCCUUAGAGUUCCUUGGAAGCUUGAGACACAAAUGCUUAAGCUCAAUGAAAACGGAAGUAUCUUGAACUUAAUAUUUAAAGAAAAAAUGACUAGGACCUGCUCCUCUGCCUUUCUGUCACUAGAAGACAAAUAUACAGGAAAUUUAUCUGAUCCAAAACAAUUUGACUUCUAGCCAAAGGGCUCUGUCUAGCUAGAGUGAUGAGCAAACGACUUGCUGGGUCAGUAUGUUGGAUGUAGAUAUGCUUAGAACAAAAUAACCUCCAGAUCGAGGUUCAUGGCCCACCAAUAUUUAUGGAGAAAAACUGAGUUUUCCUUUACUUAGAUCUUGCUUAGGAAAGGAGAAAAAGGCUUUCUUCUCUGAGCUCUCUGUUUAAAGAGGAAAGAGACUAAGGCAGAACUGUUAGCACAGCAAGUGGAGUAUCCAUGCUCAAUGCUCAAUGCUUUGGUUUUUAAAACUUAGCUGGCUGUCAGACCUAUUAAUUCAGCUGUUUUCCAACCUAAAAAUGAUACUCAGGCUGGGCAAGAAAAGAUGGUCAUUUCAUUUUAAACAGACUCAUGACUUUCCUGUUCUCUGCCAUGAGUGUCCAACAUUUGGCUUGGCUGGGCCACCCUGAAUGAAGAGGAAUUGUCUUGGGCCACAUAAAAAUAUUAAAUAUAGUUGGUGUGUAUAAGGAACAAAACUUUUUUGUUUUUAUAUCUGUUAUGCCUGAGGCCUGCAGGUUGGACAUGGCUGCAUGUGUUUCUAUAGAGCAAUGCUACGAAUCCCGAUUCUACCACUUAUUGGCCGUAUUGCCUUGGGAAGGAAUAGUUCUCUCCAAACCCAUUUUCCUUUGUACCUAUGAACUGGAGAUAAAGUAUUUAACCCAGAGGACUACUAUGAAAUUUGAAGCCUACCUAGCCCAGGGCUUGGCAAUAAAUGCUAGCUGCCAUUUUAUUAUUCCUGCAAGAUCCUCACUUGUCCUCUUUUUCAUCUGCCACAUAGCUAGGCUAAGCCCUGAAGACCAACUGCCUUUUGCAUUUUUAAAAACUUGUUUUAACUGCAAAGAACAGAAUCUGAUCACAGAAGAACUAUCCCUGACUUUCCAUUGAUUCUCAGGUUUAGGGAGCAAGAGCAAUUAUGGAGUCAAAUUACAAUAAUCUUUGGUACAACCUAGUCAUGGUUCCCCUAGCUGAAGGAAGAGAUAUUAGAAGAAAAUAAAAAGAUACUUGUCU
Heterocephalus glaber (naked mole-rat) is the source of this 2124-nucleotide long non-coding RNA. The record is from Ensembl. Lineage: Eukaryota; Metazoa; Chordata; Mammalia; Rodentia; Bathyergidae.